GGGGUUGUAACUCAAUGGUAGAGUGCUUGCCUCACACACAUGAGGCACUGGGUUUUAUCCUCAGCACCAUAUAAAAAUAAAUAAAUAAAGGCAUUGUGUCCAUGAAAAUUUUAAAAAAUAAAAUAAUAAAACAUAAAAAGGGCUGGAGCUGUGGUUCAUGGUAAAGUACCCUGGUUUCAAUUCCCAGUGCCACCA
Molecule: transfer RNA, 195 nt
Filed under: Marmota monax (woodchuck)
Lineage: Eukaryota; Metazoa; Chordata; Mammalia; Rodentia; Sciuridae
Description: tRNA.SeC
Rfam family: tRNA (bases 1-69)
Source: RNAcentral